RNAcentral lists this ribosomal RNA (608 nucleotides) under Staphylococcus aureus. RNAcentral's name for it is "partial 23S ribosomal RNA". It matches the Rfam family "Bacterial large subunit ribosomal RNA", at positions 12 to 616 of the family's 2925-position model. Lineage: Bacteria; Bacillati; Bacillota; Bacilli; Caryophanales; Staphylococcaceae. The record is from RNAcentral.
UAAGGGCGCACGGUGGAUGCCUUGGCACUAGAAGCCGAUGAAGGACGUUACUAACGACGAUAUGCUUUGGGGAGCUGUAAGUAAGCUUUGAUCCAGAGAUUUCCGAAUGGGGAAACCCAGCAUGAGUUAUGUCAUGUUAUCGAUAUGUGAAUACAUAGCAUAUCAGAAGGCACACCCGGAGAACUGAAACAUCUUAGUACCCGGAGGAAGAGAAAGAAAAUUCGAUUCCCUUAGUAGCGGCGAGCGAAACGGGAAGAGCCCAAACCAACAAGCUUGCUUGUUGGGGUUGUAGGACACUCUAUACGGAGUUACAAAGGACGACAUUAGACGAAUCAUCUGGAAAGAUGAAUCAAAGAAGGUAAUAAUCCUGUAGUCGAAAAUGUUGUCUCUCUUGAGUGGAUCCUGAGUACGACGGAGCACGUGAAAUUCCGUCGGAAUCUGGGAGGACCAUCUCCUAAGGCUAAAUACUCUCUAGUGACCGAUAGUGAACCAGUACCGUGAGGGAAAGGUGAAAAGCACCCCGGAAGGGGAGUGAAAUAGAACCUGAAACCGUGUGCUUACAAGUAGUCAGAGCCCGUUAAUGGGUGAUGGCGUGCCUUUUGUAGAAU